RNAcentral lists this ribosomal RNA (140 nucleotides) under uncultured eukaryote. Its description in RNAcentral is "partial 18S ribosomal RNA". It matches the Rfam family "Eukaryotic small subunit ribosomal RNA", at positions 1528 to 1670 of the family's 1831-position model. The record is from RNAcentral.
CAUUCAUCAGUUUACACCUUGACUGAGAGGUCUGGGUAAUCUUYGCAACAUGCAUCGUGCUGGGGAUAGAUUAUUGUAAUUAUUAAUCUUCAACGAGGAAUUCCUAGUAAACGCAAGUCAUCAACUUGCAUUGAUUACGU